Molecule: small nuclear RNA, 163 nt
Organism: Apodemus sylvaticus (European woodmouse)
Lineage: Eukaryota; Metazoa; Chordata; Mammalia; Rodentia; Muridae
Product: U1 spliceosomal RNA
Exons: 1
Source: RefSeq, a predicted model, not a curated record
UUACCUAAAUGGCAGGGGAAAUACUAUGAUUACAAAGUUGGUUUUCUCAGGGCAAUGGUUUUCCAUUGCACUCCAGAUGUGAUCACUCUGUGAUUUUCCCACAUGUGGGAAACCUGUCAGCAUAAUUUGUGGAAGGGGGAGACUGAGGUCACACUUUCCCCUA